GAACCUACGGGGGGCAGCAGUGGGGAAUAUUGCACAAUGGGGGAAACCCUGAUGCAGCGACGCCGCGUGAGUGAAGAAGUAUCUCGGUACGUAAAGCUCUAUCAGCAGGGAAGAAAAAAAGUCCUUUGGACUUUGGACGGUACCUGACCAAGAAGCCCCGGCUAACUACGUGCCAGCAGCCGCGGUAAUACGUAGGGGGCAAGCGUUAUCCGGAUUUACUGGGUGUAAAGGGGGCGCAGACGGCGAUGCAAGCCAGGAGGGAAAGCCCGGGGCCCAACCCCGGGACUGCUCUUGGAACUGCGUGG
RNAcentral lists this ribosomal RNA (305 nucleotides) under uncultured bacterium. RNAcentral's name for it is "partial 16S ribosomal RNA". It matches the Rfam family "Bacterial small subunit ribosomal RNA", at positions 333 to 640 of the family's 1533-position model. The record is from RNAcentral.